AUUGAACGCUGGCGGAAUGCUUUACACAUGCAAGUCGAACGGCAGCACGGGGCAACCUGGUGGCGAGUGGCGAACGGGUGAGUAAUACAUCGGAACGUGCCCAAUCGUGGGGGGAUAACGUAGCGAAAGUUACGCUAAUACCGCAUACGAUCUACGGAUGAAAGCGGGGGAUCGCAAGACCUCGCGCGAAUGGAGCGGCCGAUGUCAGAUUAGGUAGUUGGUGGGGUAAAGGCUCACCAAGCCAAUGAUCUGUAGCUGGUCUGAGAGGACGACCAGCCACACUGGAACUGAGACACGGUCCAGACUCCUACGGGAGGCAGCAGUGGGGAAUUUUGGACAAUGGGCGCAAGCCUGAUCCAGCCAUUCCGCGUGCAGGAUGAAGGCCUUCGGUUGUUAAACUGCUUUUGUACGGUAACGAAACGGUACUGCCCUAAUACGGCGGGCGUAAUGACGGUACCGUAACGAAUAAGACACCGGCUAACUACGUGCCACGCAGCCGCGGUAAGGUACG
RNAcentral lists this ribosomal RNA (511 nucleotides) under uncultured bacterium. Its description in RNAcentral is "bacterial SSU rRNA". It matches the Rfam family "Bacterial small subunit ribosomal RNA", at positions 30 to 527 of the family's 1533-position model. The record is from RNAcentral.